Molecule: ribosomal RNA, 557 nt
Filed under: uncultured bacterium
Lineage: Bacteria
Description: bacterial SSU rRNA
Rfam family: Bacterial small subunit ribosomal RNA
Source: RNAcentral
ACGGGUGAGUAACGCGUGGGAAUCUACCUUUUGCUACGGAAUAACUCAGGGAAACUUGUGCUAAUACCGUAUGUGCCCUUUUGGGGAAAGAUUUAUCGGCAAAGGAUGAGCCCGCGUUGGAUUAGCUAGUUGGUGAGGUAAAGGCUCACCAAGGCGACGAUCCAUAGCUGGUCUGAGAGGAUGAUCAGCCACACUGGGACUGAGACACGGCCCAGACUCCUACGGGAGGCAGCAGUGGGGAAUAUUGGACAAUGGGCGCAAGCCUGAUCCAGCCAUGCCGCGUGAGUGAUGACGGUCUUAGGAUUGUAAAGCUCUUUCACCGGUGAAGAUAAUGACGGUAACCGGAGAAGAAGCCCCGGCUAACUUCGUGCCAGCAGCCGCGGUAGUACGAAGGGGGCUAGCGUUGUUCGGAUUUACUGGGCGUAAAGCGCACGUAGGCGGACUUUUAAGUCAGGGGUGAAAUCCCGGGGCUCAACCCCGGAACUGCCUUUGAUACUGGAAGUCUUGAGUAUGGAAGAGGUGAGUGGAAUUCCGAGUGUAGAGGUGAAAUUCGUAGA